Molecule: unclassified non-coding RNA, 274 nt
Filed under: uncultured Glomeraceae
Lineage: Eukaryota; Fungi; Glomeromycota; Glomeromycetes; Glomerales; Glomeraceae
Description: sequence contains 5.8S rRNA gene, ITS2, 28S rRNA gene
Source: RNAcentral
AACGCAAAUUGCACUCUCCGGUCUUCCGUAGAGUAUGCCUGUUUGAGGGUCGGUAAAAUGAAAUAUCGAUUUGUUGCUUAUUUUGCAACAUUUCGGAGUUGGGUUAACUUGAUCCUAAGUGACCUAAAAUUCAUUACUCGGUAUGAUUAACGUUCUUAAUGAUUUCGUUUUGAGUGCCGAAUUUUUUAUUAGACGUGACUAUUUAACAUAGCAUCACGUCUAUAAUUUUUUGAUUUUCGACCUCAAAUCAGGUAAGAUUACCCGCUGAACUUAA